GCUUGCUUGGUGGAUCAGUGGCGAACGGGUGAGUAACACGUGAGCAACCUGCCCUGAACUCUGGGAUAAGCGCUGGAAACGGCGUCUAAUACUGGAUAUGAGCUGCGGAGGCAUCUUCGUGGUUGGAAAGAUUUUUCGGUUUGGGAUGGGCUCGCGGCCUAUCAGCUUGUUGGUGAGGUAAUGGCUCACCAAGGCGUCGACGGGUAGCCGGCCUGAGAGGGUGACCGGCCACACUGGGACUGAGACACGGCCCAGACUCCUACGGGAGGCAGCAGUGGGGAAUAUUGCACAAUGGGCGGAAGCCUGAUGCAGCAACGCCGCGUGAGGGAUGACGGCCUUCGGGUUGUAAACCUCUUUUAGCAGGGAAGAAGCGAGAGUGACGGUACCUGCAGAAAAAGCGCCGGCUAACUACGUGCCAGCAGCCGCGGUAAUACGUAGGGCGCAAGCGUUAUCCGGAAUUAUUGGGCGUAAAGAGCUCGUAGGCGGUUUGUCGCGUCUGCUGUGAAAUCUGGGGGCUCAACCCCCAGCCUGCAGUGGGUACGGGCAGACUAGAGUGCGGUAGGGGAGAUUGGAAUUCCUGGUGUAGCGGUGGAAUGCGCAGAUAUCAGGAGGAACACCGAUGGCGAAGGCAGAUCUCUGGGCCGUAACUGACGCUGAGGAGCGAAAGGGUGGGGAGCAAACAGGCUUAGAUACCCUGGUAGUCCACCCCGUAAACGUUGGGAACUAGUUGUGGGGUCCAU
Molecule: ribosomal RNA, 740 nt
Filed under: Microbacterium aurantiacum
Lineage: Bacteria; Bacillati; Actinomycetota; Actinomycetes; Micrococcales; Microbacteriaceae
Description: bacterial SSU rRNA
Rfam family: Bacterial small subunit ribosomal RNA
Source: RNAcentral